UACGAAGGGGGCUAGCGUUGUUCGGAAUCACUGGGCGUAAAGCGCACGUAGGCGGAUUGUUAAGUCGGGAGUGAAAUCCUGAGGCUCAACCUCAGAACUGCCUUCGAUACUGCCAAUCUCGAGUCCGGAAGAGGUUGGUGGAACAGCUAGUGUAGAGGUGAAAUUCGUAGAUAUUAGCUAGAACACCAGUGGCGAAGGCGGCCAACUGGUCCGGUACUGACGCUGAGGUGCGAAAGCGUGGGGAGCAAACAGG
This 253-nucleotide ribosomal RNA is filed under the name uncultured bacterium. RNAcentral's name for it is "partial 16S ribosomal RNA". It matches the Rfam family "Bacterial small subunit ribosomal RNA", at positions 524 to 776 of the family's 1533-position model. The record is from RNAcentral.